GACGAACGCUGGCGGCGGGCUUAACACAUGCAAGUCGAACGGAAAGGCCCUGCUUUUGUGGGUUGCUCGAGUGGCGAACGGGUGAGUAACACGAGAGUAACCUGCCCUUGACUUUGGGAUAACUUCAGGAAACUGGGGCUAAUACCGGAUAGGAGCUCCUGCUGCAUGGUAAGGGUUGGAUAGUUUCGGCGGGUGGGGAUGGACUCGCGGCUUAUCAGCUUGUUGGUGGGGUAGUGGCUUACCAAGGCUUUGACGGGUAGCCGGCCUGAGAGGGUGACCGGCCACAUUGGGACUGAGAUAAGGACCAGACUAAUCAGGGAGGCAGCAGUGGGGAAUAUUGCACAACCGGCGGAAGUCUGAUGCAGCAACGCCGCGAGCGGGAUGACGGCCUUCGGGUUGUAACCCGCUUUCGCCUGUGACGAAGCGUGAGUGACGGUAACGAGCAAAGAAGCACCGGCUAACUACGUG
Molecule: ribosomal RNA, 468 nt
Filed under: uncultured bacterium
Lineage: Bacteria
Description: partial 16S ribosomal RNA
Rfam family: Bacterial small subunit ribosomal RNA
Source: RNAcentral